UACGUAGGGUGCGAGCGUUAAUCGGAAUUACUGGGCGUAAAGCGUGCGCAGGCGGCGCGUUAAGUCAGGUGUGAAAGCCCCGAGCUUAACUUGGGAAUUGCGCUUGUGACUGGCGAGCUGGAGUGUGGCAGAGGGAGGUGGAAUUCCACGUGUAGCAGUGAAAUGCGUAGAGAUGUGGAGGAACACCGAUGGCGAAGGCAGCCCCCUGGGCUAACACUGACGCUCAGGCACGAAAGCGUGGGGAGCAAACAGG
Molecule: ribosomal RNA, 253 nt
Filed under: uncultured bacterium
Lineage: Bacteria
Description: partial 16S ribosomal RNA
Rfam family: Bacterial small subunit ribosomal RNA
Source: RNAcentral